GGAGACAAUUGUGUAUCACGCUUCGUGUC
RNAcentral lists this small RNA (29 nucleotides) under Bombyx mori (domestic silkworm). Its description in RNAcentral is "ovarian small RNA-17306". Lineage: Eukaryota; Metazoa; Arthropoda; Insecta; Lepidoptera; Bombycidae. The record is from RNAcentral.